GUAGAGCGGAGGACUGUAGUGGA
RNAcentral lists this non-coding RNA (23 nucleotides) under Cricetulus griseus (Chinese hamster). The record is from RNAcentral. Lineage: Eukaryota; Metazoa; Chordata; Mammalia; Rodentia; Cricetidae.